Orbicella faveolata is the source of this 206-nucleotide long non-coding RNA. The record is from RefSeq and is a predicted model, not a curated record. NCBI's taxonomy places the organism in Eukaryota, Metazoa, Cnidaria, Anthozoa, Scleractinia, Merulinidae.
GGUCAACAAGAACAUUACAAAUGAAGAAGAAGAUGAAGAGAAAAUGAAACAAAGUUUGAACUCUUUGAAGAUGGCAGCAAGUAUUUUUGAGACAGCAAAGGCAUGGGAAGGCUUUGUGCAAGGAGGCAAAGAUCUUAGUGCUCCAAUACUGGGUGCUUUGCAUCUUCAGUCAGUUGCCGAAGGGCAGGUAAAUAUAUGCUCAUUGG